GGCGCCUCCUCUACGCCAGACAGCUUCCACAAGCACUCCCCAAACAACAAAUAGGGCGAGGCACUGGGGCCAGGGCCAGGCGCCAGCUCAGUGGCUCACCGGCUACUCAGAGACCGGAUCAUACACCUGCUGGCUCUGAAGCCAUACAGGAAACCUGAGCUACUGCUGUGGAUGGAGAGAGACAAAGCCAGCCUCAAAGACAAAGCUGACCUGGGAUCAGUGCUGGAAGAGGUGGCCAAACUCAACCCCAAGGACCACAGCUUCAGUCUGAAGGAUGAGUUGUAUAAGCAGGUCCAGAGUGACUGGCCUGCCUACCAUGAAGAAGAGAGGCAGUUGGUCCACAGGCUACUGGCCAGAUCAUGAACAUCAAAAAACACCUAACACUCCUUCCUCCCCUGAAGAGCUGCCAGAUUACUUACAGAAAUAUGGCCCCAUCUCCAGCCCUGAGCAGUGGCAGAAGUACAAGGAGGAUUUCUGUGCAGAGUAUGAUGAGUACAGAGACCUGCACGCCUGCAUUGGUAGUGUCACACACAUGUUUGUCCAGCUGGGCUCCAAGAUCAAGACCCUAUCCCCUGGAACAAAGGAGUACAAGGUAAUGGAAGACCAAAUAUUGGAAAAAUACAGGAAAUUUAAAAAGUGAAUGAAAAGGCCUAAACCUACAAGUACCACAGUCCUCUCCUGCCAUCCCCCGAAUGACACCCAUGGAUGUGAGUGCAACCGGAUGAACACCCUGUGACUGAGCGUGGCCUGAAUGACUGCUGUCCGCAGUCGCACCUGACUGGACCCUGGCUACAGGAGCCAAAGAGGAAUCCAACAGGAAUGUAGGGGACAUGCCGCUACUUCUCAUAGUGGGGCACCAAACUGUAGAAGAUAUACAUCAAUAUCCUCACAGGUAGCGCCAGCAUGUCAUAAUCAGUCUCAUAAUAAUUAAAUAUACAAACUAUAAAUUGGCAAUUCAAAUCAAUAAUUAAAUUAGUUAUUAAAAUUACACAUUAUAGUCAAUCUUAACCAAAUCAUAAUGCCAUGUUCAGCGAAUACCAAUCUACUAUAAAUGAUUGAGCUAAGAGGUGAAGGUAUUCCAAGUUCUAGCAGCGGCUGACUCAAUUCAACACAAGUAUAAAUACAGACAACCAUGUAAAUAUAAUAAAGUUUAUUCAACAAAGUACCAAAAAGGGCAAAGCACAAUUCACUACGGUGAUGUAAUAAAUUAUGUGAGUGCACGUGUGUGUAGGUGUUGUGUGUGCGUGUGUGUGCGCGUGUGAGUAUGAGUGAGGAGUGUUGGAUGUUCUCCUAGGUGGGGGUUGUGUACCGCGGACACGUGUUCACGGAGAACAAAGGAACAAGAUGGAGUAUGAAAGGAGGGGAUUUGAAUCUAGACCAGAGCCGGCCCUGACCAAUUUGGUGCCCUAGGCAAGAUUUUAGAUGGUGCCCCUUGCAUCGCAGCCAAUUCCACAUAUACAUAUAAGACUAAUCAAUAAUGAAAAUGCAAAGGCUUACAACUAUUAAUUACAAAAGGGGAUGGAAAAGGAAAAGCAUUUUAAUUGACUAUUACAAGCAGGGCUAACGUAGGCUAACUAGACUUAUACAACCAGAAGAAUCGGAAGGCAAAAAUCAAAGUCGGUAAACAGGCGGAGGUCAGAACAGGAAAUCAGCAAAACAAAGUCGGCAGGCAAAAAUUGGUGGUCGGGAAAACAGGCAAGAUCAAAACAUGAGUCAAACUAACGAGAGGUAGACGCUGGAAAGGCACUGUAAACAGGAGGCACAAUUUGGCAAAGAAGAACAGGGAAACGGAGAAUAUAUACCAAGGAACCCAGGUGCGCGAAAUGAGAGAUAAUGAACAGAGCGUGAACAUGCAAACAGGGAACAGGUGAAUGAAAUGCCUGAUUAACCAUUAUGUGAGAAUGCGGCCAGAACAGGUGGGAGUGAUCAGCUGAGGGGAGAGAGAGUUAGAGGAAAAAACCACGUCCACACAAAAACCGAAACAAAGAUCGUGCAGGAGAAAAGCAGAUAGCUAACUAAAAGGUAAUAAAAAAAAACAGAAACAUAACAAAUUGUAUGGUAUAAAAUAAGAAGGAACUAUUUUUUCUUGAUAGAAUCGUUGGUUUCAUAGAAUUGAUGACCAGAGGUUUUUGCUUAACAACGGUGCAAAUAGAACUACCAACCACAGUUUUGGUUCGUGCAGCACACUUAAAAGAAAAAGAGUAUUUCUCAAAAUUAUGUUGUAGGUUAUUCCCCAGACACCUGCAUAGUCUCUCCAACUUUCCCUAAUGAAUUUAAGGUGGGAGUAACUGACGUUAACUCUAGCUAUUUAUUAAAUUAGCAAACGUUACUAUCGUCCAAAGUAAGCUAGUAAAACUCUGCUCCAACGGUAAUGUGGAAGGAAGGUCGAAAGGAGUUCAUAUCAGUCACUAUAUAUCAUUAUCAUUUAUAUUUAUCACUAUCACUUAUUAAAUUUCUGCAUGUAGGUAGUAAAUUGUAGUACCAGUGCAUGUCAUAUCACUUAUUAAAUUUCUGCGGCAAAGUAGUAAAUUGCAUUAUCAGUGCAUGCCAUGUGUAAUACGUAAUACUGGUAGCCGCAAGAGAGGUCAGAGUUAGGUCAAAAUGAAUAACCAUUUAUUUUUUAUGGAAAAGAGCGGGGGACGAGGAAAUAAUGGUGGAAAUAUGAACAGGUGUGGAGUGGGAACAAGGCCAAGAUGAGAAAUAAUAGUGUAUGGGAAAUGUGGUGUGAGCCUGUAGGAGGGGUUUGAGUUUAAGCUCCACAACAGGUGGAGCUAGAAAACAGUAUAAAGGAAGAGUGUAUUCAGAGUUGAGCUCAGAGCUGCUUCGCGUGGACCAGCCAGGUUUCUUGCAUGUAACUUU
Long non-coding RNA from Anguilla anguilla (European eel), 2859 nucleotides. RefSeq lists it as uncharacterized. The transcript is spliced from 6 exons. NCBI's taxonomy places the organism in Eukaryota, Metazoa, Chordata, Actinopteri, Anguilliformes, Anguillidae. The record is from RefSeq and is a predicted model, not a curated record.